GGCAACUUGGCCGAGCGGUCUAAGGCGCCACGUUAAGGAGAUAUCCUUGAUCCCGAUCUUUACAGAUUCCGUGGUCCGAAAGGGCGUGAGUUCGAAUCUCACAGUUGUCA
Molecule: transfer RNA, 110 nt
Filed under: Schizothecium vesticola
Lineage: Eukaryota; Fungi; Ascomycota; Sordariomycetes; Sordariales; Schizotheciaceae
Rfam family: tRNA
About the family: Transfer RNA (tRNA) molecules are approximately 80 nucleotides in length. Their secondary structure includes four short double-helical elements and three loops (D, anti-codon, and T loops).
Source: Rfam by way of RNAcentral